CAUGUAGGCGGCUUAAUAAGUCGAGCGUGAAAAUGCGGGGCUCAACCCCGUAUGGCGCUGGAAACUGUUAGGCUUGAGUGCAGGAGAGGAAAGGGGAAUUCCCAGUGUAGCGGUGAAAUGCGUAGAUAUUGGGAGGAACGCCAGUGGCGAAGGCGCCUUUCUGGACUGUGUCUGACGCUGAGAUGCGAAAGCCAGGGUAGCGAACG
RNAcentral lists this ribosomal RNA (206 nucleotides) under uncultured bacterium. Its description in RNAcentral is "partial 16S ribosomal RNA". It matches the Rfam family "Bacterial small subunit ribosomal RNA", at positions 568 to 774 of the family's 1533-position model. The record is from RNAcentral.